GUGCCAGCCGCCGCGGUAAAACGUAGGAGACAAGCGUUAUCCGGAGUUACUGGGCGUAAAGGGCGUGUAGGCGGUGAGCUAAGUCUGUUGUGAAAGCGCCCGGCUAAACCGGGCGAGGUCAAUGGAGACUGGCUGGCUAGAGGACGGUAGAGGCGAGUGGAAUUCCGGGUGUAGUGGUGAAAUGCGUAGAUAUCCGGAGGAACACCAGUGGCGAAGGCGACUCGCUGGGCCGUACCUGACGCUGAGACGCGACAGCAUGGGGAGCGAACGGGAUUAGAAACCCCAGUAGUCC
Molecule: ribosomal RNA, 292 nt
Filed under: uncultured bacterium
Lineage: Bacteria
Description: partial 16S ribosomal RNA
Rfam family: Bacterial small subunit ribosomal RNA
Source: RNAcentral